GGCGUUAAUAAUUGAUUCCUCUUUAGGACAGGAAAUCCUGUAGUGCUAAUAAUUGGAAACUCUAUAGAAAAUACAGCUCGUCGGAUAAUCGUAAUCUGUUUCCAAAGGUCGGUUGAUAUCGAAUUGACGAUACUGGUAACGAGUCGGUCCAAGAAUGGAAAAAAUUGACGUAUUUGGAACAAAAGGAACAUUACAAUCUAAUAGAGCAUGGACUGAGUACUGUAACGAUGUACCAUUGCGAGAUUUUCUUGGUUUCAUUGGUCAUCCUUGAUGGUAAAACAUCCUUUACAUGCUGAAAUAAUUCUCCACGCCAGCCGAAUUUGCAGUAAUUUUCAAACCAAUGCAUAUUAAAGCGUUCAAGCAGACAAACGCCUACGGGUGGGGCAAUUUCGGACGUUAGUUGGUCAACAGCCACUGUCUUCCAGAUCCCGAAACCAGAAUCCUACGUCAGGAA
Molecule: long non-coding RNA, 454 nt
Organism: Topomyia yanbarensis
Lineage: Eukaryota; Metazoa; Arthropoda; Insecta; Diptera; Culicidae
Exons: 3
Source: RefSeq, a predicted model, not a curated record